AUUGAACGCUGGCGGCAUGCUUUACACAUGCAAGUCGAACGGUAACAGGCCGCAAGGUGCUGACGAGUGGCGAACGGGUGAGUAAUGCAUCGGAACGUGCCCAGUCGUGGGGGAUAACUACUCGAAAGAGUAGCUAAUACCGCAUACGAUCUAUGGAUGAACGCGGGGGACCGUAAGGCCUCGCGCGAUUGGAGCGGCCGAUGUCAGAUUAGGUAGUUGGUGGGGUAAAGGCUCACCAAGCCAACGAUCUGUAGCUGGUCUGAGAGGACGACCAGCCACACUGGGACUGAGACACGGCCCAGACUCCUACGGGAGGCAGCAGUGGGGAAUUUUGGACAAUGGGCGCAAGCCUGAUCCAGCAAUGCCGCGUGCAGGAAGAAGGCCUUCGGGUUGUAAACUGCUUUUGUACGGAACGAAACGGCUCUGGUUAAUACCCGGGGCUAAUGACGGUACCGGAAGAAUAAGCACCGGCUAACUACGUG
This 482-nucleotide ribosomal RNA is filed under the name uncultured bacterium. Its description in RNAcentral is "partial 16S ribosomal RNA". It matches the Rfam family "Bacterial small subunit ribosomal RNA", at positions 30 to 507 of the family's 1533-position model. The record is from RNAcentral.